Molecule: long non-coding RNA, 8558 nt
Organism: Mustela lutreola (European mink)
Lineage: Eukaryota; Metazoa; Chordata; Mammalia; Carnivora; Mustelidae
Exons: 4
Source: RefSeq, a predicted model, not a curated record
GAACACGCCACCGCGCGCCUGCGACUCCAGGUGAGAGUUGCAGCGUGUCAGUCUGGCGACUUAGCGUGGCGCGCGAGCUCGGGCACAAUACCUCCCUCUAGCCCAAACUUUAACGAGAGUUUUGAUGGCCGAGGGCUGCUGAGAAAAGUGAAGAGAGGUAAAGAGAGAGGGUCGCCCUUUGGAAACGUCAUCAGAACGCACCGGAAGCGGCUGGAGGAUGAAGAGUGUGGUCUACCAUGCCUUUUCUCAGAAAGAGGCCAAAGAGUUCAAUGUUCAGAUACAGUGGAUGGCAGGAAGUCUGGGAGCAGCAGAGUUGAUGACAAGGAUGGCUUGAUCCCCAGCACUGCGUUAGAUGUCCUUCCCAUGUCUUACUUCUCAUCCUUCCAGUAGAUGUGUUGGGCUCCGUUGAAAUCUGCUGUUCUGACAGCCUAUUUCCAGAUGCUGGCCUUUCUCCCUUGUUUGAUUAACUGAAACCUCUUGAUCGUGUGUCCUCUCCCAUUGUGUAGGGGACACUGGCUAUGCCCACCUGAAACCUGCCCUGCUGAGCUCUGUUAUUUGACUUUGUCACUGCGUACCCUUCACUCUUGAAGAGGCCAGGUGAUCACAUUUCCUAAGUGGAAUUUCUGGAUUAUAUCUGGAUGCUGCCAACAUGCUUUGUCAGUUUGGCAGAAGCUCCACUGGGGACUCCUAAUGAGGGAGUUAACAGGAAAUCAAGAUUUUGAAAAACUGAUACACUUUUAUUUGGUUUCUUCAUGAACAAGGCCACUUAGGUAUUUUUAAAAAGUAAGUAAUUGCCAUGUCACAGUAAUAAUACUGACGAUAAUGAAUCUUUAGUUAGUAUCUAAGGUGCAAAGUCAAAGCUGACUGCCCUCCUGACUGUGAGCUGCCUUGAAGGUCGAGUGUAUCACAUCAUCCCUUCACUGCCCGCUUCUCCAUAAGGGAGAGCGUGAUUAUUGACACAUUAGCUUCCCAGGGUUUACAGCCUUCUUAGUGCAGCAGGGGGUCAGGAAAUCCCCAGCCAAGAGGCAGGACCUGCAUAGACACUGCCUGGGCUGUGGCCGACCUAGGACGCAGGCAGCUGAAUGAGGAGUAGACCAGUGGAACUCCCUACGUGAAAGGCAGUGACAUUUGAAGUUCUCUCAAGAAUUUCACACUAUUAACGCAGUUCUUUUGCCCACAUGUCCUAGGAGUCUGUGCUGAGUCACGGUCAAGUUCCGUUGUGCUCUUGGGAGAGAGUGAGCUCAGGAGGCUGAGAUGCAUUGGUACUUUCUUCUGCAGCUAAGUGCUGCAGGAGAAGACUUAGCGAGUAGCCAUGACACAUCCAUGGGGUCAAACCCAAGUAAAGGGGAUUACCACAUGGGCACCAUGUCAUUCCUGCCCCCAAGGUGUGGCCCACCCUGGGGCACCAGGUGGUACUGUUUUCACAAGUGUUCAGAUAAUUCCUUCGAGGCCAUAGCUUGCCUUCAUCUGGUCGUGACUGAAUAAAUAUUGUUAGCAUACAUUUCUCAAGCUUUCCACCCUGCCAAGGAUCUAAGAAGUCUUUCCUUCCUAAUGUUAAGGGAUUUGGGCUUUUUUCUUUGUAAUCCCUUCACAAUAACCUCAGAGAUGUAUAGUAGGAAGUUGAAUUUUGACGUGGCUGUUUUGUGCAGCGUCUGAAUUGGUAUUUGAGGGUGACUUUCACAUCUGGACAGCUGCGGGGAGCUCACCUUCAGCAGAUGAGAGGCUGUGUGGGGCUCAGUCGGGAGGCAGGUGGGUCAGGGAAGGCACCUCACCUGCAGUGUCUAGGAGGGCCUGGGGUCUGCGGCUGCCCCCACCAGAACAGUGGGCGCUCUGCCGCCCUGUCCCCAUGCAGCUUCCGGGAGCCCAGCAGGCCGAGACCUUCGUGAGGGCCUUCCUGAAGCACAACACGCCACACAUGAGCCAGCAAGCCCGCGAGGACCAGCUGCAACGCAAGGCUGUGGUCCUGGAGUACACCACUCGCCAGAAGCACAAGGAGAAGAGAAAGAAAUCCAAGGGCCUCUCUGCAGGCAGAGGAGGGAGCUGCACCUCUUUGACAUUAAGCCAGAGCAGCAGAGGUAUGCCAGGGCCUUUCUCCCAAAGGCAGCUUCCUCCUCCUGGAGUGGGUGUAGCUUUGGGAGACCCAGUUCCCCUGAAGCUAAGAGAGCUUCUCCCACUGCCACCACAAGGGGGCAGCCUCCCUUUACCAACUCAAGCUGGGUUUGCACUUGGCUUUCACAGCAAGGCACAGCCAGGCUCUUGCUCUUUGACUGUCUGGCUCCUGUCCUAGCCUUAACUAAUGUGCCCCCACCGGAAGUGAGUCUGUUACCCAUGGCAACAGGCUGUUUGUCUUUCGGCUUUCCCAGAGAGAGAGGAACUUAUGGAUCUUUGUAUAUACUCUUUAUAGCUUUUACUAGCACUAGGCAGAAUCAUCCCCUGGGUUUAUUGCCAAAGAACAUGCUGCCCGCAUGUUUCAGAAGUUUCUGAAAGGGACGCAUCACUCUGGGAGGACGUGCUCUUCCCUCCAGCUGACACUGCAUCGCUCCUUGGUCAUGCUUCUGCACAUGCUCGUCAUCGGCCGGUUUGUAGAUCUCGCUCCAAGAACUGCAGCCAAAUAGCCUCCCACAGACACAGUCAGUCACUGUGUCUGGGACCCCGCUUGCAAAGAGAGCUGCUCUGCGGGUGGAGGAAGGGGCCACUGCCUGCCCAGGUUUCCCUCGCUGGUGUCUACACAGGUAGAACGCACUUUGAGUUUGAGCCUGAGGUUUCCCAACAGUUUCCUAUAACAGGUUCCCCAUGAGGCACCAGGACCCAUAAUAAUGACCCCAGAGGAAAGCCUCUGAGAUCCUCUCACCUGGUCUCUCCCUGGCAUCCCACCACUGGCCUACCUUUCAGACACACCUGGUCCCUUACGUGGGGACGUGUAUGGCAGCCUGCAGCUCCUGUCUGCUCCCCUCAGGGUUGGCUCCUGUAGCAGAUGAUCUCAGAGAGCAAUGGUGAAGCAAGAUAUAAGUUUAGUUCAUGAAAAGCCGUCCAGAUGAGCACAUCCUGCCCCCUGGGCUGGUGUGGCAGAGACUUGGGCAGUGCUGCCCUGGGAGCACCCGGCUGCUCCCAUCUGUGCAGGGUGCCUUGUGGUGUGAGGGGUCUGCUGGAGUGCUGGCCAUCCAGGCUGCAUGUAGCCAGCAGGAAGGAUGUAGGGGCACCAGGAGGGUUCUAGCAGCGGAAACAGGUUCAGGAGGGGGACGCAGAUGUCAGUCUGUUGGGUUAUCUGCUGUGGAACUAGGAUCUGCACCCAGUUCCCCAUGACCUGGAUAGGGCUCCUUGGCAUCAGGCUGUGCUCUAUGCCCUGUUGAUGUCACAAUCCCAAGCUCAUGUCGCUUAAUUCUUUACUUCUUUCUACCUUAGCCACAGAUAGUCUUUUUCCCCCUUACAUAAACUCUGGAAGCAGUACAUCCGGGACCUGUGCGGUGGUCUCAAACCAGACACGUGAGUUGCAUGCCUGCAGUCCUGCCCUUUGGGGCAGAACCCAAGGCUUACAAUGACUGUGAAUGCAGCCUUCAGAGCCAGCUGGCUGCAGAAGUUUGUAGACCUGUGUGCCCCUUCAGAACUCUCGCUCAUGGUCAACACUGAGGCCUUCUGCUUACCUUCUAGGCAGCCGCACAUGAUUCAGAACAAGCUGUUGAAGGCAGAUCUUCACGGGGCUCUCGUUUCAGUCACGAAAUCCAAAUGCCUGUCCUAUGUGGGUGUUACAGGAAUCCUCCUACAGGAAACAGCACAUUUUCAAAAUCCUCACCGAAGAAGACCACCUGAAAGGGUGCAGACUCAAGUUUCUCUGUGAGUGGCUGUUCAUUAGUAGCCUUCUCUCCCCGCUUCCCCGAGGACACUUGACAAGAACGCUCAUCUGCCAUGAAGCUGCCACUGUGCCCGCCUGUUUCCAGGAUGCCCUGUUAUCUCCACAGCCCACCUAGGGUCACUGGGUCCUAUGCCCUGAGGACUGUGCCCCUGAGGUCCCAGGCUAGGCAGGACACUGGCUCUCAGUGAGCGUCCUAAUGAGGCCACACCAGCUGCUCCCCAGAACCAGGCUGAGGCCUCCGGCGGUGGAACAGGGCUGGCCACGUCCCCACAGCUGUGGCACAGGGCCGGUUGUGGAGGGUGCUGUGGUAGCCUGCAGUCCAGGCUCCUACCUCCACUGCCCCAGGAGCAGGACCCCAGUAGAGCUGUGGCACUGGAGAUGUAGGCCUGUGGGAGACAGCUACGUCAGCCUCACUUGUUGGUCUCACACACUGGAGGAACCAGAGAGGCCCAAGGAGCAGCAGAGUGGUGACCACCUGGGGACGGGACUCAGGAGCCGCAAGGCCAGGACGCAUCAGCCCAGGCACCCACUGUUCUCCAAAAAGUGAGUGGGCCCGUGGGCCCUUUACGUUCCCUGGAGUUGACUGCAUGUGGGGAACUGAGACUUCCUGCAGGGCCCACAGAGGACAGGCGCCUCCAGGGGAGGAAAAGGACGAAGCACCUGGAGGAGGAAGCGAGGGCAGCACGGGUCAUGGCCCCUGCGUUAGCUGGGGCUGCCCUAACCAAACUGCAGACGGGCAGUGUAAACAGAACAUCCUUCCCCACCGCUGCAGAGGCUGCAAGUCCGAGUUUAAGGUGCCCUCCUGGCUGGAGUCUGGUGAGAGCCUUCUCCUUGGCCCCUUCUUGCUGUGUCCUCGUGUGGCCUUCCUCAGUGCACACCUGCAGGGAAGGAUAGCCAUCUGGUGUCUCUUCCUCCUCUGACUGGGACACCCGUCCUGUAGGUUAGGGUUCCACUGUAUGACUCAUUUCACCGUGAUUGCCCCCUUAAAGGUUCUGUUCUCAGUGCGGUUACACUGGGGAUGAGGGCUUUGACAGAAUUUGUGGGGACAUGAUUCAGUCCAGAACAGUGGUGGAGCUGCCCACCCAGAACAGGAGCCCCUAGCAGAGCCCCUGAGAAAGGCUGCAGUAGCCAGCCUGGCUCCCGUCCUGACACUGGCCUGGCUGACCCCAGCCCUGCCUAGGUUGCUGGCACCACUAGCCGGUUCAGCUGGUCCAGCGGCUGGGCCCUGAGCUCCCCUCAACACUGGGUCCCAUGACUGGCUCAGCCAGGAGCUUAGGUCCAGCGGCCUCUCCACUGCCGGCUUCCCUCGCUUCUGCAAACCACUGAGCUCCUCCGUCACCCUCCCUUCAGGCACAGGGACAGUGGUGGGGGAGGAGACGCACACACGGGGCAGGGUGGACAGGGAGGCUCCCUGGAGGAGGGGGCUCAAUCCAGGUUGCUGUGGGAUGUGAAGAGGGACACUGAAGCUCAGGACCAGGCUGGCACUGUAUGGAGUGCAGUCAUGGAGGCCCCAGGACAACGCCUGCCCAUGAGACUCAGGGCCAGCAGGAAGGAAGGUGGGAGCGGGUGGCAGAGCUCUGGCUACCGAUCUCAAACCCAUAGGAGGUGCUUCAGGUCCUGCCUGGUUCCGUGGGAGGGGAGAGGUGUUAGAGAAGUUGUAAGCCCCUGGGACGGGGCAAGGUGGGGAAUCCUGCUGACCCGUUCGCCCAGUCCUGACAUGCUUGGGGGCCUCCGUGUCAUCAAUUGGCAAGUGGGGCCAUGAGACCAGAUGAGGGUUUCCUGAAGGGGGAUCCUGGGACUUCCAGCACAUGCAUCAAUGUCACCAGGACACCCGUUCGAAGCAGCCAGCUCCUGGGCUGCUGUCAGACUCCAGGGGCCUAGACGACUUCGUGGGUCUGUCAGACCCCAGCUGGCUCCUCCGGUCACUGAAGUGUGAGGAUCGUGGAUCCCAGAUGGUGGCGCAAGUGUCUUCCAGCUCUGACACCUGGACUGUGAUUUGAGAUUUGGGACUCUCGGGAUGGGGUUUUCCGGAUGCUGGAAAAGAUUUUCAGUGAUAGAUCUCUCAGGUUCUGAAGAGUAAACAUGAACAUUCCCCCAAAAAGCCAUAAAUUAUGGUAAAAAGCUGUCUUUCUGGACAAUGGCUUUCAUUUUAAUUUAGUUUGCGUUUCUUAGCUAUAAUGUCUAAUUAAGACAUCUGUUAAAUGUCUAUAAUAUUAAGUUGAUGGGGGGUUCUAAUAGUACUGUAUUGGAAUUGUCCAUUUAAUUAACCUCGUGGGCCUUUAAUGGAUGUCUUAAAUAGACAUCAUUAACAAGAGUGCUAGACAAAUUAAAAUUAGAGUCAAUAACAUUCUUGGUAGUUUUUCCUGAGCUGUGAAGGACGAGUGUUGCUAAGUAGACAGACGCAAAGACGGGUAUGCACAGAGGAGUGUGGGGGCUGGUGUCCCCAGCAGGGCUGCAGCACGGACGAGGCCCCAGGUCGGGCUCAGCCGUUCUGUGUCCUGGCCUCCCCUUCGUGCACCUCCCACACACGGCGCUUGCUGAGCUGUCAGAUCGAGCUCUGAUGAGGAGAAGGUAGCGAGGGAGGAAGAGGGACCCAAACCCCGGGUCUCCGCAUGGCUCGCAUUGAGAUGGAACAGACAUGAGACAGGACAGACCAGGAUGGGGCAGGCAGGGCUGGGCUGGGGGGUGGAGUGCGGUAAGAGGGGAGGAAGUGGCCCAUUUUCCCCACCACUCUGCGGAGCAGUCUCCCUCGGGUGAACUACACUCCCAAACCCAGGGCUGGGUUCCCCAUCUCCACAUCCCAGGUGGCCUCUCAGGGCGGCUGACCGUUAACCACUGCCUCCCUCCUGAGGCACCUGUGUCCCCACACUCCCUGACAGUCCCCCCCCCUCCUGGCCACUCCCUCUCUGUCCUUUCAUGGAACCUCCUCCUCCUCCUCCGAGCUUCUAAAUGUUGGAACGCCCUGAUCUCCGUCCUUGGACUCCUCACCUUUCCCCUCAGCUGGUCCCACCCACAACCCCCACACACCUGACUCAGAAGAUCAUGUUGGCAGCCCUGCUUCUCCCCCACCCCACUGCCAAAUCUGGAGCUUUGUCGUCGGCCUCCCCUAAUUCCAGUGGGAGCUCCUUUGAGCUCACGGUGGCUCUGUUUUGAUGGCUGAUGUGUCCCCAGUGAUCUAGAAGCACUCGCUGACCUGGAAUGGGUGCUCAGUGAACAUUCGCCGGGGAGUGGAAACCUCGGCUGGUUGACCAAACCCCUGGGAGUGUAACGGGCUCCUGACCUGAAGAGGCUGGGCAAGAAUCAAGGACUCUCUCCCACGAGGACGCUCCCCUUCGACCCCCAUCUCAGUGAACAGCCUCUGUCUCUCCAUUUAGGUCAGAAACGCAGGAGGCCUCCUACCCCUGCCUGGUGUUGGCGCCUGCCCCCAGCCGGUCUCUCACGAAGUGCUGGUGGCUCUCCCUUGUCUCCCCUGCGCCGGCUCUCACCCACCCUCCCACCACCCCUCGUGGCCUCCCUGCCUCCACAUGUGGCCCCACCACAGCUCAGGUGACCGUUGUGAAGCAGGACUCCAAUUGUGUCACUCUUCUCCUCAAAACCUACAAGUGACUUCCCAGUACACUUAGAACUAAACCCAGUGUCUGACCAGGGUCAUCAAGGGCCCCCCAGGACCUAAGCCCAGCCUGCCUCUCCCAGCUCCCCAGUGUCCUGCCCCCGUGCCUUCUCCACAGCUCUGUCCCACUCAGACCACUCCCACCUUCCCGGGACCUGUGAGCACAAGGCAGCCCCCUGCUCUGCACUCAGCUCUACACCGCUGGCCGGCCUCCCUCUCAGCAGUCCCCCAGCGGUCCCUUAGCAUGUGACCUCAUUUCACACUGGACACAGCGCCUGUCAGUAACCUUCCCUGCUGGGUCAUUGUCGUUUUCUUCCAGCAGAACGUACGCGUCAUGAACUCCAAGACUUGGCCUGGCUCGUCCACCCCUGAACCCCUUGUCCCUCAGUGCCCUCUAGAGCACUGCCCUCCACGUAGUAAGUGUUCCAUUAAAUACUAGUCUGACAGCGAGCCGAGGGUGUGGCCCUAAUGGUGGCUAAGGGUGGCCACACCCAGCCAUGGUGACCCCCAUCUGGCCCCUACAGACGCCUUCCCCCACUGUGGCUUUCCACAGCAGAACAGCACCGCGUCCUGUGACCCCCAGGCCAUCCCAGCCUUUCAGGCAGGCAGGUGCCCCAGACAGCAGCAGUGCCUGGACACCGUGUGGGUCCUUCUCGCAUCCCAGCCAGGUGAGAGCUUACACACUGCGGGCAGCUGUGACCUGCAGCAGGCGUGGCAAAACCCCUCUGUCAUCUCCAACUUUACCUGGACCCAAGGUUCAGGGGGAGGCAGGCGGGGCUGGUGCUGGGCAACCCGGCCUGGAGUCCCUGAGCUCAAUCAGGAGCCUGGCACUCAGGAAACCCAAGUUCAAAGUCAAAUUACUCUUGACUUUCAUUUUUAACCACAAGGGACAAGGCUGAGUGUGGUGUUUACAGUAGAUUCAUUGAAUCUGCAGGAAUUAAACUGCAGCCCCUGUCAGGGCGGGGGGGGGGGGGGAGCUGCGGGUGCCUGCCCCCCUGUUCCGGGGACAUCCGCCUUGUGGUGGCUGAGGAGGAGAAGCACCCCUAGUUGCUCUUCAUCUCCCUGGAAGGGGUGUGAGCAGAACGCAGUUCCUAGUUA